CAGCAGCCACGGGAAUACGGAGGGGGCUAGCGUUGUUCGGAAUUACUGGGCGUAAAGCGCACGUAGGCGGCUUGGUAAGUUAGAGGUGAAAGCCUGGAGCUCAACUCCAGAAUUGCCUUUAAGACUGCCGAGCUAGCAGGUGAGAGAGGUAAGUGGAAUUCCGAGUGUAGAGGUGAAAUUCGUAGAUAUUCGGAAGAACACCAGUGGCGAAGGCGGCUUACUGGCUCAUACUGGACGCUGAGGUGCGAAAGCGUGGGGAGCAAACAGGAUUAGAUACCCGAGUAGUCCCUGUCUCUUAUAC
Molecule: ribosomal RNA, 301 nt
Filed under: uncultured bacterium
Lineage: Bacteria
Description: partial 16S ribosomal RNA
Rfam family: Bacterial small subunit ribosomal RNA
Source: RNAcentral